UACGUAGGAGGCAAGCGUUAUCCGGAAUGACUGGGCGUAAAGGGUGCGUAGGUGGUUUGACAAGUUGGUAGCGUAACUCCGGGGCUCAACCUCGGAUCUACUACCAAAACUGUCGGGCUUGAGUGCAGGAGGGGUAAAUGGAAUUCCCAGUGUAGCGGUGGAAUGCGUAGAUAUCACGCAGAACUCCGAUUGCGAAGGCAGCAUACCGGCGCGCAACUGACGCUCAUGCACGAAAGCGUGGGUAUCGAACAGG
RNAcentral lists this ribosomal RNA (253 nucleotides) under uncultured bacterium. Its description in RNAcentral is "partial 16S ribosomal RNA". It matches the Rfam family "Bacterial small subunit ribosomal RNA", at positions 524 to 776 of the family's 1533-position model. The record is from RNAcentral.